Picea glauca (white spruce) is the source of this 120-nucleotide non-coding RNA. The record is from Rfam. Lineage: Eukaryota; Viridiplantae; Streptophyta; Pinopsida; Pinales; Pinaceae.
CAUGUGAAUGCCUACAGUGUUAAUGCAUCAAAUCCUAUUAUAAAUUUGCAGUAAAGAGUGCUUGGUCUAGAGUAGUAUUGGGAUGGGUGACCUCCCGAGAAGUCUUAGUGUUUUACAUGC